RNAcentral lists this unclassified non-coding RNA (240 nucleotides) under soil metagenome. Its description in RNAcentral is "partial contains 5.8S ribosomal RNA, internal transcribed spacer 2, and large subunit ribosomal RNA". The record is from RNAcentral.
AACAUCGCGCACCUGCGGGAACCUGCGGAAGGAUCAUUACCGAGUGCGGGUCCUCGUGGCCCAACCUCCCACCCGUGACUAUUGUACCUUGUUGCUUCGGCGGGCCCGCCAGCCCUGCUGGCCGCCGGGGGGCGUCUCGCCCCCGGGCCCGUGCCCGCCGGAGACCCCAACAUGAACCCUGUUCUGAAAGCUUGCAGUCUGAGUGUGAUUCUUUGCAAUCAGUUAAAACUUUUAGCAACG